This 469-nucleotide ribosomal RNA is filed under the name uncultured bacterium. RNAcentral's name for it is "partial 16S ribosomal RNA". It matches the Rfam family "Bacterial small subunit ribosomal RNA", at positions 28 to 507 of the family's 1533-position model. The record is from RNAcentral.
GACGAACGCUGGCGGCGUGCUUAACACAUGCAAGUCGAACGGAAAGGCCCUGCUUGCUGGGUGCUCGAGUGGCGAACGGGUGAGUAACACGUGGGUGAUCUGCCCCUUACUUUGGGAUAAGCCUGGGAAACUGGGUCUAAUACUGGAUAGGACCAUGCUGAAGGUGGUGUGGUGGAAAGAUUAGUUUCGGUAAGGGCUGAGCUCGCGGCCUAUCAGCUUGUUGGUGGGGUAGUGGCCUACCAAGGCGUCGCCGGGUAGCCGGCCUGAGAGGGUGGACGGCCACAUUGGGACUGAGAUACGGCCCAGACUCCGGCGGGAGGCAGCAGUGGGGAAUAUUGCACAAUAGGAGCAAGCCUGAUGCAGCGACGCCGCGUGGGGGAUGACGGCCUUCGGGUUGUAAACUCCUUUCAGCCAUGACGAAGCCCUGGUGGUGACGGUAGUGGAAGAAGAAGCACCGGCUAACUACGUG